UCAAAUAAAGUUCUAGGUAGAUAACUGAUAAUGACAAAUUUCUAUCUAUAUGUCUUGACCAAGUCUUGUGCCAGCAGUCGCGGCAAUACAAGGAAGACUAGUGUUAUUCAUCUUUAUUAGGUUUAAAGGGUACCUAGACGGUUAUGAUAGCUCCAAAAGAGUACGUCAAAACUAGAGUUUGAUAGGAGAGGUAAAUAUUAGGGCUAUUGGUGUAGAGAUGAAAUUCUUUGAUACUAAUAGAACGGAUAAGGGCGAAGGCAACCCUCUAUGUAUAAACUGACGUUGAGGGACGAAGGCUUGGGGAGCAAAUAGGAUUAGAUACCCUAGUAGUCCAGGCAGAAAAUUAUGAAUGUUAUAUAUAAAUGAAAGUGUAAGCAUUCCACCUCAAGAGUAAUGUGGCAACACAGGAACUGAAAUCAUUAGACCGUUUCUGAAACCAGUAGUGAAGUAUGUUAUUUAAUUCGAUGACCCUCGAAAAACCUUACCACACAGGCGUUGCACGGCUGUCUUCAGUUAAUGUCGUGAGAUUUUGGUUAGAUCCAUUAAAUUAACGUAAACCC
Molecule: ribosomal RNA, 560 nt
Filed under: Bryochiton monascus
Lineage: Eukaryota; Fungi; Ascomycota; Dothideomycetes; Pseudoperisporiaceae
Description: SSU rRNA
Rfam family: Bacterial small subunit ribosomal RNA
Source: RNAcentral